This is a long non-coding RNA of Mangifera indica (mango), 1477 nucleotides long. RefSeq lists it as uncharacterized. Lineage: Eukaryota; Viridiplantae; Streptophyta; Magnoliopsida; Sapindales; Anacardiaceae. The record is from RefSeq and is a predicted model, not a curated record. The transcript is spliced from 2 exons.
AUGUGAUCCAUGGAAGACCAAGAACAUGUGAUCUAAUAAUGAAAAACUAUGACAAGAGUGUGGUAGGCUGUAUAACACUGAAAACAUUGAAGACAUAAGCUAAAGGUAAGAAGCAUGAUGUGGCAAUCAAAGAUGACGUGGAGAGCAUCAAACACAUAGAAAAUGAUAUGGCAUAUCCUUGGUGACGUUUUUACUUGACAAAAUAUGAAAUGGAAGCUUAAUUAGGCAAAAAUUCAUGUGAAGAAAGCAAGGGAAUUCAAUUGAAGUUCAAUUUCCUAGUAUUUCUAGUUUUCUAGUUGUUUAGGUGUUUUAUUUGUUUUAGGAGUCUUUGUUUUAUUUUCUUUAGGAAUUAUAAUUGAAUUAGGAUUAUUAUUUUUAUUAUCUUAUUUAGAUUGAGAUUAUUAUUAUCCUAAAGAUUAUGUUUAUUAUUAUCCUAUUCAGACUAGGGCUAUAAAUAUCAAUGUAACCUUGGGAUAGAGGAUACACAAUGGAUUAAUAAAAUUAUGAGAUCUUUUUCUUGGUUCUUUUGAGAACUCAUGAAUUUAUCAAAAAUAUUUUCUUUUGGGCAUUCAAAUAUGACUUAUCACUCUCCUUCUUUUCUAUUCUAGAGUGUGGCGUCAACUCAUACCUUUGGUUCAUGUCAAUUAUAGACAUCGGGUCAUUGUUUUUAUACUUUUGGUUCAUGAUUAUCCAUAAUCAUUGGGUCAACGGUUUUUAUAAUUUUGGUUCGUGUCAAUUAUAGGCAUUAGGUAAAGGUUAAUUAUGUGACGAAACUGAUUCAAUCCUAGGAAAAUAGCUUCUUGAGUGUUGGGCCUUGCGUCAAAUCGUCAAGGUUCGCAUCAGUUGGUAUCAGAGCCGAGUCGAAUCAGGUUACAAUCAUGUCAUCAUGCCAAAAUAAAAGUUCUACUAAAAGUGAUGAUUUGAGGGCAAAUCAUUUUAAAGAGAGGGGGAAUGAUGUGAUCCAUGGAAGACCAAGAACAUGUGAUCUAAUAAUGAAAAACUAUGACAAGAGUGUGGUAGGCUGUAUAACACUGAAAACAUUGAAGACAUAAGCUAAAGGUAAGAAGCAUGAUGUGACAAUCAAAGAUGACGUGGAGAGCAUCAAACGCAUAGAAAAUGAUAUGGCACAUCCUUGGUGACGUUUUUACUUGACAAAAUAUGAAAUGGAAGCUUAAUUAGGCAAAAAUUCAUGUGAAGAAAGCAAGGGAAUUCAAUUGAAGUUCAAUUUCCUAGUAUUUCUAGUUUUCUUGUUGUUUAGGUGUUUUAUUUGUUUUAGGAGUCUUUGUUUUAUUUUCUUUAGGAAUUAUAAUUGAAUUAGGAUUAUUAUUUUUAUUAUCUUAUUUAGAUUGAGAUUAUUAUUAUCCUAAAGAUUAUGUUUAUUAUUAUCCUAUUCAGACUAGGGCUAUAAAUAUCAAUGUAACCUUGGGAUAGAGGAUACACAAUGGAUUAAUAAAAUUAUGAGAUCUUUUUCUUGGUU